RNAcentral lists this ribosomal RNA (253 nucleotides) under uncultured bacterium. RNAcentral's name for it is "partial 16S ribosomal RNA". It matches the Rfam family "Bacterial small subunit ribosomal RNA", at positions 524 to 776 of the family's 1533-position model. The record is from RNAcentral.
UACAGAGGUCUCGAGCGUUGUUCGGAUUCAUUGGGCGUAAAGGGCGCGUAGGCGGCGGGGUAAGUCUGGUGUGAAAUCUCGGAGCUCAACUCCGAAAUUGCACCGGAUACUGCGUAACUCGAGGACUGUAGAGGAGAUCGGAAUUCACGGUGUAGCAGUGAAAUGCGUAGAUAUCGUGAGGAAGACCAGUUGCGAAGGCGGAUCUCUGGGCAGUUCCUGACACUGAGGCACGAAGGCCAGGGGAGCAAACGGG